Molecule: long non-coding RNA, 560 nt
Filed under: Rhipicephalus microplus (southern cattle tick)
Lineage: Eukaryota; Metazoa; Arthropoda; Arachnida; Ixodida; Ixodidae
Description: uncharacterized LOC119187019
Source: RNAcentral
CCAAACAAAAGAAACUUGAAAAAAUUUGUGCCUUGCUCUUCUGGCUGCUGCUGCCUGAAGGCCACAUCUUUAAAUGAUAUCUUGAAGCUUGACAUCUACAGAUUUGAAGAGCACAUUUUAAGCAUGAAGAGUACACCUGUACUUUUUGUGUAUUUUGCUAGAGUCUGCCACAUUUAUGCUCAUUCGAUAGGGGCAAGUCAAAAAACCCCCAGUUACUGCUUGAAGCCGAAAGCUCCAGGGAACACAUGUGGGAGAGGUCCAUUUACUUCAUGGUAUUUUGAUUCUGAGAGCCGUAAAUGCAAGGCUUUCACCUUCGGCGGAUGCAACGGCAACCUAAACAGGUUUUCUUCGGAAGGACAGUGCCAACGCUGGUGCUUACGUGGUGUUCCAGAGAAACCAGUCUGUAGCUUGGCUGUCGAAAAAGGAAAAGGGAUUGGGGGCAUUUUCGCAUGGUCAUAUAAUGCUACACAGGACCAAUGUCAAGUGUUCCUGUACAGCGGGUUUGGUGGAAACUCGAACAAAUUCAGAAGUUGUUAUCAGUGCAUGAACAGAUGUAGUGG